Molecule: non-coding RNA, 382 nt
Organism: Prunus avium (sweet cherry)
Lineage: Eukaryota; Viridiplantae; Streptophyta; Magnoliopsida; Rosales; Rosaceae
Source: RefSeq, a predicted model, not a curated record
UUUUUGUUUGGGGCAAAGAUUCAUGAAGUUCCCAAAUUGCAUGAGGAAGGAUCUCCUAAAAUGCCACUGCAAGGUGCUCAUGUUAUAAGGAUGGUCCGAGAUGGCUAUUUUGGCUUUAAAGACUAUUUUGAAUCUCUAUGUGAUACUGUGGAUGGUGGCUGCAGCUGAUAAAGCAUUUGCGGAUCCAAAUAAGUGGACUCAGAUGAGCAUCCUUAGCACAGUCGGGUAGGGGAGAUUUAGCAGCGAUAGAACAAUCCUUGACUACGCGGAGAAGACGUGGGGAAUUGAACCAUGCAAAUACCCUUCUGAUGGCUAGCUCACCCUCAAGCUUACCCUCAUCCACACCCCAGUAGCAACAUUUUACAUAUUUGAAUGGAAGGUG